Triticum dicoccoides is the source of this 602-nucleotide long non-coding RNA. RefSeq lists it as uncharacterized. The record is from RefSeq and is a predicted model, not a curated record. NCBI's taxonomy places the organism in Eukaryota, Viridiplantae, Streptophyta, Magnoliopsida, Poales, Poaceae. The transcript is spliced from 3 exons.
GACCAAUGGCGCGGGAGGAGGAGAAGAGAGAGAGAGAGAGAGAGAGAGAGCGCGCAGAGCGAAUUAGCAACGGGGGCAUUGUUUUUGGUACUUGACACUUCUGAGCAACUCUUUUGAGCAACUGAGUACCUUGGAAUAUCCUGUAUCUGGAAUGCAGUGGAGAAGGAAGAUGCAAUCUGUUGGCUAUGCCUGGUUGAGGCACCAGACUUCGAUAUGAUGUGAUUACUGGCAGAAGGGAAGCUUCCUUGUGCGAACCAAGCGAAGGAAGCGGUGGCUGGCAAUUUCCUGGAAAGACCGCUGAAGGAAGAUGUUGACUUCAGAUGGGAAAAGGGAACACGAUUGGUUGCCGUGUGACACUGUGUAGGUGUAGCACGUCCUUUUCUUUUCGUGUCACUAGUCAACAAUAUCUGGCCGUUCUUGCAUGGAAAAUUUAGAAGAAAUCCACCAAGGAUGACCGCUUCAACUUACUAGUACGUAGUAAUGUAUGAUUUUUAUGAAGGGGAAGCUGAGACUGAGUUAUCAGGUGCCUCUCAGUGUAUUGUGUGUAAUUGAUGAAGGUACGUGCAUGAUUGAGUUUUUUUUUCCUUUUUAUAAAAUGUACU